AGAGGCUGGUGCUAUCCGGGCAUUCUUCUGGGAUUAUGUCUCCUAGAAAUGACGGGAAGACCUCCCCCUUGAUACCUCCACAAUAUGGAUGCCUACACAAGACCUGAACAGUAACACCAACAGACAUGCUGUUGUGAAAGAGGAGACAUCUCAUGGGGUUCCUAGACAAAGAACGACAGUGGCAUUUCCAGAAUCGGUGCUUGGGAAAUCACUGUAAAAUCACUGAAGGUCAACUAUAGACACCUGGGACCCACUGGGGAGGCUGUUCUGCCGUUGUAGCAUCUCGCGCUGCAGAUCGGGUUGAUGGAUGUCUAGGCUGAUUCCAUUCUCUAGCUAUUGUGAAUAGAGUGAGCAUGAGCAUCGGUGAGCCAGCAUCUCCAUAGUUAUCUCCUUUUCAUCCCCACGUCAACUACCUGACCAGAGAAAGAGCCUGAGCUGACUGCGUGGGGUGUUCAGAAGAGACCUGCAGGCCCCCGGUCAUAACCGAAGCAGUCAAGGAUGAAGUACAGCCCAAGGGUCAGUCCAGGAUUGAAGACAAGCGAAGGCAGAACCUCAGAUACGAAGUCACAUCACAGUCAAGAUCAAGAGCUGUUGGAAACCAAUAGACUCAUGCUGCCUACCUGCUUCUAGCUUCCCUCUGCCUUUCUCCUGUCUCAGAGCACAGAACCCCCUCCUAGGGAAUGGCGCUACCCGCAGUGUGCUGGGUCUUCCUACCUUAACUAACAAUCAAGACAGUCACCCAUAGACAGACACACAGGCAAACGUGAUCUAAGUAAUCCCUUUGUUGAGAGUUUCUUCUCAGGUGAAUCUGUGCUUUGACAAGUUGACAUUUAAAAACUAUCCAUCACACACAUGAAUAAAGAACAUAAAAUGUUUCUGUUGAUCCUGAAGAGUGAAGAGCUGAGAAAGAACUGUUUCUGUGACAAGAAAUGAUGGACCAUUGAGGCCAAGAGCUUGGGAGACAUCCCCUGGGAAGAAUGAGUGAGUCCCCUAGGAAGUGUGAGGAUGGAGUCACUGUCAUCUAAGAGUUAGCUAGAGUGGCUGGUCAGCAAGUCCCCAGGACCCCCCUUUCUCUGUUUCCCACUUCUGAGAGAACAAGUGUACACCAACCACAACCACCACAGCCAACUUUUUGCUUGGAUACUGGGAAUCUGAGCUCAUGCUUGUACAGCAUGCACUGAGCCACCUCUCAGCCUCUUCGUACUGAAUUUUAGUGAGUGAUAUUUUACAUCUAUUGAGAAGACUGCAGUCUUUAUCUGUUGUUCUGAUACAUUGUUAUACUUAUUGAUUUGCGUAUGUGUAACCAUCCUUGCAUGCCUCCAAAGACACCAACUUGACCACGAUGAAAGACAUUUUUAUACACUAUUUAGUUUGAUUUGCAAGUAUUUUGCUUGAGAAAUUUUGAACCAAUGCUCAUCAGGGAUAUUGGUAUACAGUUUGUUGUUGUGUCCUUGUCUCGUUUUAGUAAAAGGGUGAUGCUGGCCUCAGAAGGAAUUUGGAAGAGUUCCUCUUGUCUCAAUUUUGUGGGAUGGUUUGAGAAAAACUGGGAUCGCUUCUUUAAAAAAUUGGCAAAAUCCAGUAGGGAAAGCUGGUGCUGU
Molecule: non-coding RNA, 1598 nt
Organism: Peromyscus maniculatus bairdii (prairie deer mouse)
Lineage: Eukaryota; Metazoa; Chordata; Mammalia; Rodentia; Cricetidae
Source: RefSeq, a predicted model, not a curated record